Molecule: transfer RNA, 72 nt
Filed under: Candidatus Dojkabacteria bacterium
Lineage: Bacteria
Description: tRNA-Ala
Rfam family: tRNA
About the family: Transfer RNA (tRNA) molecules are approximately 80 nucleotides in length. Their secondary structure includes four short double-helical elements and three loops (D, anti-codon, and T loops).
Source: RNAcentral
GGGCUUAUAGCUUAGUUGGUAAAGCAUCGCAUUCGCAUUGCGAAGACACCAGUUCGAUUCUGGUUGAGUCCA